CUCUCUGGGGCGUACUGGGUUUAUAAUAACUCUAUCAAAAACCUAAAGACCGUUAUCAUGUCGCUGUAUUUCGCUGAGUCAUUGCUGUUUUUUCAUGUUUAGCAUCAAAUCUCUUUAUGCACCUCUGAGACCGUCGCCUGGCAACCAUCCAAGCAACCAUCUCCAAAGCAGCCAAUGAGGUGACAGCAUGACAGAUGAGAGGGCUCUCUCUCUCUCACACACACACACGAAAAAAAAAAAAUCGCACCUGACUGCAGGGUAAUGACGCCAAAUCGAGGCUCAUGGGAGAUGUGGUCCUUUCCUCCUCCUGUCCUCCAGGUAUUUGCCUCGCCGACCAAAAAUAGCUUCAUUAAUCAUCUUAUAGUCUGCGCUGCAAACACACACACACACACACACACACACACACACACACACACACACACACACACACACACACACAAGUGUUAGUAAGUUACUCAGCAGCAGGUGCAGACUGUAACACCAGACAUGUUUGUUAUAACAAAUACAAGUCCAGUCACAUAGAUGAUAUUUCACUGAAGUACCAGUCUGUUAGUACACUUGUGUAUUUGUAGAAGGUACUGUAUUUGGUAUGUACAUAAAGCACUGAGUACUUUUGACACAUAGCAGAUGGGGAGAGGGUAAGAUAUGCCCCAUAAUUAUGGAAAACUAGAAAGUAUUAUAGCAACACAAGCAUCUGAGUUAAUGUGUGAACUGAUUUUGAAUAUUUGAAUACUUUUGCAGCAUCUCUUAUCAAGAUUGCAUUUUGUAGACGCUCCCUGCACACUCAAGUCAUACCUUUCCAUCAGCUGUAUGACAGCCAGCUGAUCGGACAAUCUCCUUACUGCAAUAACCCAGACCUCAGACCCAGUAAAUUUGCCACAUUUCAAGCCAAAAUAACUCUCUACACUUUAUUCAAGCUGCGCUGUCCUAACUGGACCAAAUGUAAAUCUUAUUUCAAGAUACCUGAACCAUAACUCUCUUUAUGAGCUCCUUGAAAUC
This is a non-coding RNA of Xyrichtys novacula (pearly razorfish), 999 nucleotides long. The record is from the annotation of a GenBank genome assembly. NCBI's taxonomy places the organism in Eukaryota, Metazoa, Chordata, Actinopteri, Labriformes, Labridae.